This 434-nucleotide long non-coding RNA is filed under the name Amborella trichopoda. Its description in RNAcentral is "long non-coding RNA (ATRI_LNC003588)". The record is from RNAcentral. Lineage: Eukaryota; Viridiplantae; Streptophyta; Magnoliopsida; Amborellales; Amborellaceae.
UUUCUCUCUCACUAUCCUCUUUUGCCUCACCAUCACUCUGUCUCUCUCGUUGGUUUUCUAAUUCGUUAAUUCUCACCCUCUUACUGUGGUCCUUCGAAGAACUGCAAAGAAGUUGGUCAUCAACGCAAUUUUUUCGCUCCCAAGAAACAAACCAAUCCACAGACUCAGGCGGCAGCUCCUGGUUGAGAAGUGGGUUUUACCCUCGCUCCCCCAUGUGACCUUCUUCUUUAUUGAGUCUCCAGAUAUCUCAGAUAGGCGGUCCUUCUCGGUUGCGAAUUUGGGGAAGUUGCGUUGAGCCGAAAGACCAAUGAAUUUCAGCAGAGCAAGAAAGCAGCCAUGGUUUCUCAGGCACAGGUAGUGGGCGUAUUCAAGAUGGAAGCUCCCUCAACUUCUCAAAGGUGAUAAAUUAUCCAUGAUUUCUAAAUGAAUGCCGA